GUGAGGAAUAUUGGACAAUGGGCGCAAGCCUGAUCCAGCCAUGCCGCGUGCAGGAAGACGCAUCUAUGGUGUGUAAACUGCUUUUGUACGGGAAGAAACACUCCCUCGUGAGGGAGCUUGACGGUACCGUAAGAAUAAGGAUCGGCUAACUCCGUGCCAGCAGCCGCGGUAAUACGGAGGAUCCAAGCGUUAUCCGGAAUCAUUGGGUUUAAAGGGUCCGUAGGCGGUUUGAUAAGUCAGUGGUGAAAGCCCAUCGCUCAACGAUGGAACGGCCAUUGAUACUGUUAGACUUGAAUUACAAGGAAGUAACUAGAAUAUGUAGUGUAGCGGUGAAAUGCUUAGAUAUUACAUGGAAUACCAAUUGCGAAGGCAGGUUACUACUUGUGGAUUGACGCUGAUGGACGAAAGCGUGGGGAGCGAACAGGAUUAGAUACCCCGGUAGUCC
RNAcentral lists this ribosomal RNA (445 nucleotides) under uncultured bacterium. Its description in RNAcentral is "partial 16S ribosomal RNA". It matches the Rfam family "Bacterial small subunit ribosomal RNA", at positions 354 to 796 of the family's 1533-position model. The record is from RNAcentral.